GUCACGCUGUAAACGAUGUCGAUUUGGAGGUUGUUCCCUUGAGGAGUGGCUUCGGGAGCUAACGCGUUAAAUCGACCGCUGGGGAGUACGGCCGCAAGGUUAAAACUCAAAUGAAUUGACGGGGGCCCGCACAAGCGGUGGAGCAUGUGGUUUAAUUCGAUGCAACGCGAAGAACCUUACCUACUCUUGACAUCCAGAGAAUUUAGCAGAGAUGCUUUAGUGCCUUCGGGAACUCUGAGACAGGUGCUGCAUGGCUGUCGUCAGCUCGUGUUGUGAAAUGUUGGGUUAAGUCCCGCAACGAGCGCAACCCUUAUCCUUUGUUGCCAGCACGUUAUGGUGGGAACUCAAAGGAGACUGCCGGUGAUAAACCGGAGGAAGGUGGGGAUGACGUCAAGUCAUCAUGGCCCUUACGAGUAGGGCUACACACGUGCUACAAUGGCGUAUACAAAGAGAAGCGACCUCGCGAGAGCAAGCGGAACUCAUAAAGUACGUCGUAGUCCGGAUUGGAGUCUGCAACUCGACUCCAUGAGGUCGGAAUCGCUAGUAAUCGUAGAUCAGAAUGCUACGGUGAAUACGUUCCCGGGCCUUGUACACACCGCCCGUCACACCAUGGGAGUGGGUUGCAAAAGAAGUAGGUAGCUUAACCUUCGGGAGGGCGCUUACCACUUUGUGAUUCAUGACUGGGGUGAAGUCGUAACAAGGUAACCA
Molecule: ribosomal RNA, 708 nt
Filed under: uncultured Providencia sp.
Lineage: Bacteria; Pseudomonadati; Pseudomonadota; Gammaproteobacteria; Enterobacterales; Morganellaceae
Description: bacterial SSU rRNA
Rfam family: Bacterial small subunit ribosomal RNA
Source: RNAcentral